UCACGAAGUGAACGGACUGAGAAGAGCAAGGGGAACAGGAAGCAGGCCUCUGAGCCCAAGCUAAGCCAUCAUAUCUCCUGUGACCUGCACGUAUACAUCCAGAUGGCCUGAAGUAACUGAGGAAUCACAAAAGAAGUGAAAAUGCCCUGUUCCUGCCUUAACUGAUGACAUUACCUUGUGAAAUUCCUUCUCCUGGCUCAUCCUGGCUCAAAAGCUCCCCCACUGAGCACCUUGUGACUCCCACCCCUGCCAGCCAGAGAACAACCCCCUUUGACUGUAAUUUUCCAUUACCCAAAUCCUAUAAAACAGCUCCACCCCAUCUCCCUUCAUUGACUCUCUUUUUGAACUCAGCCUGCCUGUACCCAGGUGAUAAAAAGCUUUAUUGCUCACACAAAGACUGUUUGGUGGUCUCUUCACAAGGACGCAAGUGAAAUUAUUAUUUAAGCCUUCCAACAUAUCUAAUAUCUGAACCUCAACUCUUCAUCUUACUAGCUAAAUGACAUCAGGGGAACAACUUAUUAACCUCUCUAAGUCUGUUUAUUCACCUGUGGGUAAUACCAUUAACAUCUCCUUAAUAGAUUUGUGGUAAUAAUUGAAUGAGGUCUUCAGUGUAGAGAGCUAAACACUAUGCCCAUUUAAAAAGUGAUUGCUGCUGCUCUAUCUUCCCAGCCCAGGGGGUUCUUGGACAUUCUCCCCGUGAUGAGUGCCCCUCUUCUGAAGUGGGGGUAGAAUGUAGUGGUUUCUUAAAGAGGAUCACUCAUGUUAGGAUCACUGAGCUUGGGUUUUAAUAUCUGUAUGUAUGGGACUGGGUU
RNAcentral lists this long non-coding RNA (812 nucleotides) under Homo sapiens (human). RNAcentral describes it as "non-protein coding lnc-KRR1-1:1". Lineage: Eukaryota; Metazoa; Chordata; Mammalia; Primates; Hominidae. The record is from RNAcentral.